CCUGGGAGGAGGGUGCACUCCACAGGUGGCUCUGCUGUCAAGAUGGGGCUAUUCUGCAGCAGCUUCGCUCACAGGGAGUGGGUGGGGGUGGGGAGUGCACACCUUACACUCCUAAUCCAAGGCAGUGCAGCUGCAUGAAUUCCAGGCAGCUCUGCAAACGGGGCUCAGGGCUUGUGAGAACUGUGGGGUUCUCCUGUAGAAAGGACUAUAGGUGUUUGUCAAGAUAAUGAAGGCUGGUGGGGAUCUGCUUACCUUUUCUCCACAACAGGAAGUCCCUCCUGUCUUCAGGCCAAUCCGAUUUGGGAAAAGCAGAUGGGGCUGUAGAGGCCGGGUGCCUCCAUGCUGCUCUUCCGGACUUCUGUCACUGCAGAUUCAUCCCACUCCCCCACUGUACUCCAGUGCUCUCCCUUCGACACUCCAGUCAAAGUUCAUGUACUUACGUGUUUUGGUUGAUUCUGGCUGUUGGCUGAGACUU
Molecule: long non-coding RNA, 475 nt
Filed under: Homo sapiens (human)
Lineage: Eukaryota; Metazoa; Chordata; Mammalia; Primates; Hominidae
Description: HSALNT0213734
Source: RNAcentral